UUGUGAUAUCCUUACAAAAUCAUACCAAAUAGCAAGAGCAAUUUGUUUUUAUUAGCUCUAACUUCUCUCGGCCUAUCAAUUCCUUUGAUAUUUUAACUCAUUAUCAUGAAUCCUCAAAUCAACCAACUCUCACAUUCAAUAAGAAAUAUCAUAAGUGAAUUCUCGCAAAUUGCCAAUUGGUCCAAAUCAUUUGGUUUGGUGAGAAAAAAAAAGGCUUAAUGUGAAGAAUGAGAAGGGUCCAAAUACAUUUUGCUAUGGUGACUUACACUCAAGAAUAGGAGUUUGAUCAUUAUGCAAAAUUUAUCUAAGAAAAUGAGCAAUUAAUGCAUACAUAAAUCGGUUCUCAUCAUUGUACCCUUUUCCUAGACAAUUUUUAAGUUCUACCCUUUCUUUUCUUCAUCUCAAAUCCCAAAUGUACACUCAUUUUUAUCUCUUACCCAAUGAACACUCUUUUCUCUUUUUUUUUUUUUCUUUUCUUUUUGGGGUUUUUAUUGACACAAUCUGAGCU
This 508-nucleotide long non-coding RNA is filed under the name Brassica napus (rape). RNAcentral's name for it is "long non-coding RNA (BNAP_LNC010734)". Lineage: Eukaryota; Viridiplantae; Streptophyta; Magnoliopsida; Brassicales; Brassicaceae. The record is from RNAcentral.